RNAcentral lists this ribosomal RNA (439 nucleotides) under uncultured bacterium. Its description in RNAcentral is "partial 16S ribosomal RNA". It matches the Rfam family "Bacterial small subunit ribosomal RNA", at positions 339 to 795 of the family's 1533-position model. The record is from RNAcentral.
CUACGGGUGGCACCAGUGAGGAAUAUUGCACAAUGGAGGAAACUCUGAUGCAGCAACGCCACGUGGAGGAUGACGCAUUUCGGUGUGUAAACUCCUUUUAUAUGUCAAGAAAAUGACGGUAGCAUAUGAAUAAGCACCGGCUAACUCCGUGCCAGCAGCCGCGGUAAUACGGAGGGUGCAAGCGUUACUCGGAAUCACUGGGCGUAAAGGACGCGUAGGCGGGAUAUCAAGUCAGGUGUGAAAUCUUACAGCUUAACUGUAGAACUGCACUUGAAACUGGUAACCUAGAGUAUGGGAGGGGGAGAUGGAAUUAGUGGUGUAGGGGUAAAAUCCGUAGAUAUCACUAGGAAUACCUAAAGCGAAGGCGAUCUCCUGGAACAUAGCUGACGCUAAGGCGUGAAAGCGUGGGGAGCAAACAGGAUUAGAUACCCGGGUAGUC